This 235-nucleotide ribosomal RNA is filed under the name uncultured bacterium. RNAcentral describes it as "partial 16S ribosomal RNA". It matches the Rfam family "Bacterial small subunit ribosomal RNA", at positions 118 to 351 of the family's 1533-position model. The record is from RNAcentral.
UGAGCGACCUACCUAAUUGUGGGGGAUAGCCGGCCCAACGGCCGGGUAAUACCGCAUACGAUCGGAGAGGGGCAUCCCUUUCUGAGGAAAGCCUUCGGGCGCAAUUUGAGGGGCUCGCGGCCUAUCAGCUUGUUGGUGAGGUAACGGCUCACCAAGGCUUCGACGGGUAGCCGGCCUGAGAGGGCGACCGGCCACACAGGGACUGAGACACGGCCCAGACUCCUACGGGAGGCAG